UCCCUCUCAGGGUUGCACCUGGAGAUUUUGCAGUACUCUACCAGUCUCUACUACAAGAGGAAGAGUCAAGCAGAAACGUGUCCAUUCCAUUCCCAGCUUGGGCAGUGGCUAGCGAGUGGAAGGCAAUCUGCUACCAAC
Ornithorhynchus anatinus (platypus) is the source of this 138-nucleotide small nucleolar RNA. The record is from RefSeq and is a predicted model, not a curated record. Lineage: Eukaryota; Metazoa; Chordata; Mammalia; Monotremata; Ornithorhynchidae.